RNAcentral lists this ribosomal RNA (253 nucleotides) under uncultured bacterium. RNAcentral describes it as "partial 16S ribosomal RNA". It matches the Rfam family "Bacterial small subunit ribosomal RNA", at positions 524 to 776 of the family's 1533-position model. The record is from RNAcentral.
UACGUAGGGUGCAAGCGUUGUCCGGAAUUAUUGGGCGUAAAGAGCUCGCAGGCGGUUUGUCGCGUCUGCUGUGAAAACCCGAGGCUCAACCUCGGGCCUGCAGUGGGUACGGGCAGACUAGAGUGCGGUAGGGGGGAUUGGAAUUCCUGGUGUAGCGGUGGAAUGCGCAGAUAUCAGGAGGAACACCGAUGGCGAAGGCAGAGCUCUGGGCCGUAACUGACGCUGAGGAGCGAAAGCAUGGGGAGCGAACAGG